Molecule: ribosomal RNA, 492 nt
Filed under: uncultured bacterium
Lineage: Bacteria
Description: partial 16S ribosomal RNA
Rfam family: Bacterial small subunit ribosomal RNA
Source: RNAcentral
AGUGAACGCUGGCGGUAGGCCUAACACAUGCAAGUCGAACGGCAGCACAGUAAGAGCUUGCUCUUAUGGGUGGCGAGUGGCGGUCGGGUGAGGAAUACAUCGGAAUCUACUUUUUCGUGGGGGAUAACGUAGGGAAACUUACGCUAAUACCGCAUACGACCUACGGGUGAAAGCAGGGGAUCUUCGGACCUUGCGCGAUUGAAUGAGCCGAUGUCGGAUUAGCUAGUUGGCGGGGUAAAGGCCCACCAAGGCGACGAUCCGUAGCUGGUCUGAGAGGAUGAUCAGCCACACUGGAACUGAGACACGGUCCAGACUCCUACGGGAGGCAGCAGUGGGGAAUAUUGGACAAUGGGCGCAAGCCUGAUCCAGCCAUACCGCGUGGGUGAAGAAGGCCUUCGGGUUGUAAAGCCCUUUUGUUGGGAAAGAAAAGCAGCAGGUUAAUACCCCGCUGUUCUGACGGUACCCAAAGAAUAAGCACCGGCUAACUUCGUG